This 235-nucleotide ribosomal RNA is filed under the name uncultured bacterium. RNAcentral describes it as "partial 16S ribosomal RNA". It matches the Rfam family "Bacterial small subunit ribosomal RNA", at positions 99 to 334 of the family's 1533-position model. The record is from RNAcentral.
CGGACGGGUGAGUAACGCGUGGGUAACCUGCCUCAUACAGGGGGAUAACAGUUGGAAACGACUGCUAAUACCGCAUAAGCGCACGGGAUUGCAUGAUCCAGUGUGAAAAACUCCGGUGGUAUGAGAUGGACCCGCGUCUGAUUAGCCAGUUGGCGGGGUAGCGGCCCACCAAAGCGACGAUCAGUAGCCGACCUGAGAGGGUGACCGGCCACAUUGGGACUGAGACACGGCCCAA